RNAcentral lists this long non-coding RNA (727 nucleotides) under Rattus norvegicus (Norway rat). RNAcentral's name for it is "long non-coding RNA NONRATT012393". The record is from RNAcentral. Lineage: Eukaryota; Metazoa; Chordata; Mammalia; Rodentia; Muridae.
UCCAGCUCACUCAGGACAAAAGGAGAAGGAAAGAGGUACAACCUUGCAGACGUGUCCGCUGCAGUGUGCAUGAGCCUUGGCCUGAUCUGGUUUACCCUUGCUGACAGCACAAUUGCACCAAACUUUAAUCUGACAGGUGAGGAAUGGACUUUUAUUCCUUAGUUGCAUUUUAUUUUGAAUAAGAGUUUGUAAAAUUUCUUGAAGAUUUUAAAUGAUGAGUCUCCCACUUAACGAGACUUUCAGACCUUCCCAAUUGUAGUAAAAGUAUCCCAGCUCUAGCAUUGUAACGCUGAGAGGCAUGACAGGAGGCUCCGGGUUACAUCAAUAGCUGUCAGAGACAUGAGGGUUGGCGUGUGUGUGCUGACCUGGACCUGCGCACAGACGUGUGAGGAAGUCACAAUAACAAUAUCAAUAGAACUGUUUGUGUGUGAUUUACAGUUUUCUCCGAUAUGUGCUAUGUUAACUUUUGUCAAUUAAAUUUAUAUUUUUCAAAAGCCAAAUAAGUAUCACAAUAUGUCCAGGGGUAAAAAUAAACAUUAGAAUCCUGUUUUUAUUUUAAUAAUCAUUCAGAUAAAUUGUUUGUGGGUAUGUGGGACAUUUAUUGUAUAUACAGUAUUUUCCUAAACUUACUAAAAGAGUUUUACUAAGAACACUAUUGUAAUACCAGCAAGCACAAUGUAUAAACUAAUUAUUUCUCUAAUAAAAAUAUUGGUUACAUUAGAUCUUC